UAUUAUAUAUCUACCAGAUGAAUUACUCUACCGCGUCGUUUCGAACGUAUUUUCCACUGUUCUUAUUCAGGAGUUUCCUCUGGCGAGACUGCAGAGCCCUAGUCUAGGACUGGUGAAACACAGGAUGCAUAAUUAAAUGAAUCUUUGCCUUAAUAUAUGAGCUAACAGCAAAGAGCAGCUGCUUUUUUAAGGCAAGCAGCAGAAUUGUUGAAUGUCAACACAAGUGACAGGAGUACACAAUACCAGCACCUGCAUCAGUAACCUCAGUCAGUAGCACUAGUGCUGCAAAGGCAAUUUUUGCACCCGACAGUAAAAGAAGGAGGCAUGGACAAGCAAAUACAGGAACUGUUGCAGUGCCAGCACUGGACUAUUAUACCCAGGUGUAAUAAGGUCCCUGGUUACAACUAAUGACCACCUGUUGAAGGAGCUAGACUAGACCCGGCAGAGACUCAAGCACAGAGGUGAAUCAGAUUAACUGGAGCUACAAGCAGCUCAAAAAAAACCUUCAGAGACCAGUCUAAAUGUUCUGAUAAUGAUAAUAGAGUGUGCUUUGUGUUUUAUUGCUAAUAAUUUGGCUGCUCUGUAUCCAAUAUCUGAAGUGGUAUUUUAUUAAGAUUUAGAAAAAAAUAAGGCUUUAUGCAUGUGUGUGAAGUGUCGUCCCAGAUUAGCUUAUGUUGUCCACACAUGAUUAUCUGGGACAACACUUUCGGCCUAGACUGGAUUUUAUAUUUCAAAAUACUUUCUUUAAACAAAAAAUCUCAUAAAACCAGAAAGUGUCUUCCCUGAUUAGCCUGUGCAGACUGUACAAGUUAAUCUGCCACGACACUUUAGGAACAUGCAUUAAACCCCAUUUUCCCAGAGCAAGGUCAAAUUGUAUUUAUUUCCUUUCAAUAUUCACAUCCCCUUUAUUUUAGGAUCAUACUGAUUCUAAAUGCCUAUUUAUUGUAAGCUGAAUAUUCAGUCAUAACCAAAAAGUGUCAUAAGAUCUUUGUUAAGACAGGACCCAGAAUUCUAGCAUUUAAUGACGUUAUGUGCUUUUCCGCACUUAUUCUAUGUCUUUUAUAAGUAAAAGGUGAACACUAGCAACAAUAUAAUUUGCUACCAAAAAUGUUUUCCAUAUAUUAUUUCUUUUACAUGAAAGAAGUUAACAUGUGUAAAAAAGUUUGGCAAACAAACUGACAGGUAACAAUCAGUUUAUUUGUUGUGCAUCCAGGCAUUUACAUAUAACCAGACAGUAGUGCAAUCUAACAUAUGUAUGUAUAUGUAGGUUUUUAACUUAUAUUGCACCAGUUUAUAGAUUGUUUUGAAAACAAUUGUAUGAUCAUGGUAAAGUUACAUAUGUCUAGUCAUAAGCAGUAUGUGUGGGAUACACUAGCAACAGGACCGUAGGGAUCAUUUUGUUUUCAGAUGAUGUUUAUGUAAUGUGUGUUUCAUCCUAAUAUUUAUUUAACCAGUAUGCCAUGUAAUACAUAUAUUUUCUAAUAAAAUUGUAAAAAAAGUU
Molecule: long non-coding RNA, 1501 nt
Organism: Dreissena polymorpha
Lineage: Eukaryota; Metazoa; Mollusca; Bivalvia; Myida; Dreissenidae
Exons: 4
Source: RefSeq, a predicted model, not a curated record